GACGGAGGGGGCUAGCGUUGUUCGGAAUUACUGGGCGUAAAGAGCGCGUAGGCGGUUUAGUAAGUUGGAAGUGAAAGCCCGGGGCUUAACCUCGGAAUUGCUUUCAAGACUGCUAAUCUAGAGUUUAGCAGGGGAUGAUGGAAUUCCUAGUGUAGAGGUGAAAUUCUUAGAUAUUAGGAGGAACACCAGAGGCGAAGGCGGUCAUCUGGGCUAUAACUGACGCUGAUGCGCGAAAGCGUCGGGAGCAAACAGG
This 253-nucleotide ribosomal RNA is filed under the name uncultured bacterium. RNAcentral's name for it is "partial 16S ribosomal RNA". It matches the Rfam family "Bacterial small subunit ribosomal RNA", at positions 524 to 776 of the family's 1533-position model. The record is from RNAcentral.